AAUUGAUGCACAUUUUUGUUUAAUGACUUUUUCCAAACCUCCCCUGUUUCAUAUAUCUGUGAUGUUGCAGUCGGUUACAUUUACCUAAAAGAAAUGUAUGGUAAUGAGUGAAAAAUAUUACAUUUAUUGCUGUCAAAUAACAAAUGAACUCAUCUGAAUAAUCACAAAUAAUUAUCACAUUAAUCAUGUAUACGCAGAUCAAUUGCGCAAUUUAUUGUUGGCUGUAGGGCUGGGCGAUAUGGCCUUUUUUAAAUAUCUCAAUAUUUUUUGGCCAUAUAGCGAUAUACGAUAUAUAUCUCGAUAUUUUGCCUUGGCUUUGAAUUAACACUUGAAACAUUAAUCACAGCAGUAUGCUGAUUCUAUGUGUCUACAGUAAAACAUUCUUGUUCAUACUGCAUCAAUAUAUGCUCAUUUUAAACUUUCAUUGCAGAGAAGGAAAUCACAACUAAGUCAAAUGACCAAAACUGUAUUUAUUUAGCAGUUAUUAAGCAAUGGCAUAAAUGUUCAUGUCAUUUCCAAAACAGAAAAAGCAAGAUUGUCAGAGAGAUUUUAAGUGUCGAAUAACAACGAGCUGCAUAAUAGGAAAUCAAAUAGUGUUCGUCCUUCGCUAUUAAACGUUAUUAAAUUCUGUUGUUGACUUUUUUCAUACGGUGUUGAUCUGGAAAUGUUUGCCUCGGCAUUUUGAUGGUGUGGGCGUGUGGCACCUAACGGAGAUGUUGGUUCCCUGCUGGCUCCACUUUGGAUGGGACUCUCGUUACUAUAUUGGAUCCACUUUGGACUUGAUUCUGACGGUUACGUUAGAUCCACUAUGGAUUGGACUUUCACAAUAUCAUGUUAGAUCCGCUCGACAUCCAUUGCUUUCGGUCCCUUAGGGGGGGUGGUUGCCCACAUAUGUGGUCCUCUCCAAGGUUUCUCAUAGUCAUCAUGGUCGACGUCCCACUGGGGUGAAUUUUUCCUUGCCCUUAUGUGGGCCCUACCAAGGACGUCAUUCUGGUUUGUGCUGCCCUUUGAGCCACUUGUGAUUCAGGGCUAUAUAAAUAAAUAUUGAUUGAUUGAUUUAUUGACAUGCGGAGUAAGCACUCUUCAUUCUCCAGCAGGCGACUUUUCAAAUGAUGCUACAUAUUAGCAGUAAUGCUACUUUUUAUAGCAACGAUUUUGGCCCACACUUGACAAAAUACGGUUGUCUGUUCGACAUAUUCCCACUUCAAGCCAAACCAACGCCAGACGAUGGACCCCCUGCUGUUUUUCUUGGGAAUUAAAGGGGAACAUUAUCACCAGACCUAUGUAAGUGUCAAUAUAUACCUUGAUGGUGCAGAAAAAAGACCAUCUAUUUUUUUAACCGAUUUCCAAACUCUAAAUGGGUGAAUUUUGGCGAAUUAAACGCCUUUCUGUUUAUCGCGCUGGAAGCGAUGACAUCAGAAUGUGACGUCGCCGAGGUAACACACCCACCAUUUUCAUUUUCAACACAUUACAAACACCGGGUCUCAGCUCUGUUAUUUUCCGUUUUUUUGACUAUUUUUUGGAACCUUGGAGACAUCAUGCCUCGACGGUGUGUUGUCGGAGGGUGUAACAACACUAACAGGGAGGGAUUCAAGUUGCACCAUUGGCCCGAAGAUGCGAAAGUGUCUGCCGCCAGACCCCCAUUGAAUGUGCCAAAGUGUCAUUUUACCGGCGAUGCUAAAGCAGACAUGGCACAGAGAUGUAUGGAUAACCUGCAGAUGCAUUCCCAGUGGGCACCCAUCCUUAGUUCAACGUCGAGGUGAGGUUGAAAUUACGUCGCGACGUCACUCAACCAUAUCCCGACCAAAUCACAACCAACUGACCCCACCACACCAUAUGUUGCAAAUCUGGUUUGUUUUCAUCAUUGGGGGACAUCGUCUUUUCAACGUCGUUUCAACGUGUACAAUUCAACUUGCCAAACAUUCUGCGCGCAUCGGCCAUUUGCGACAGUUUUCAACGAAACCGCUGCUUGAUGGCAGCGUGAACUAAAAGCCAAGCUUGUGCGCAUGCGUGCUGAAGUACUUCCUUUUCAGUCCAGCAAGCAAGACUAAGAGCGAAGAUUUGAAUUGGAAAUCGAACUAUUUCACUGCAAAGAAAACCAUCGACGUCCAUAAAGAUUCAGAAAUUGGAGACAGUGGAGGAACUACUCGACCUUGACGAGUUGAUAAAAACUCAACCAAGCAAGAAAGAUUUGCUGACAGCCAGGCUCUCAAAGAUUGGUGGAUAUGACUUAAAGAGCUGUUUAAGCACCAUCAUGGACAGGCUCAUGACAAAUGAAUUAAUGUCCAAUCUGAACAUGAAGGGGAGAGGGGGGAAAAAUAGCUUUGCCGAGACGAAGCUGCUCGAUUUAGUCACAGCCAGUGUCUUGGAUACCCAGAAGGGGACCGAAACGAUGGUCCAUGAUGCCAUAAAAAAUAAACUGAAAUAUGCCCCUGGACGGAAGGGAGGAAUAGAAUGUGCAUCACAGGCUAAAUAAAUAAUUAUAUCGAUUGACAUUCUCCAUUUUCUUUGUACUUAAUUUUAAUUUUGCAUUAACAGGAUUCAGCCUGGAGCUAUAUCUGCACUAUGUUUUGUUGUCUUUAAUUAUAUUUAUAUAUUGGUUGAUAUUACGUUGAUAAUUGGUUGGUUGAUCUUAGGUUGAAACUGAAAGUUGAAUCAACGUUGAAACAUUGACGUAGAUUCUACGUCGGUAUUCAAACGUUGAUCCAACUUUCAUUUUCAACCCAAAUCCAACGUUAUUUCAACACGGGAAAGUAACAUUGUUUCAACGUUGAUUAAACGUCUCUGUUAGGUAGAAACUUAAAGUUGAAUCAACGUUGAAACAUUGACGUUGAUUCCACGUCUGUAUUUAAACGUUGAUCCAACUUUCAUUUUCAACCCAAAUCGAACGUUGUUUCAACACGGGAAAGUAACGUUGUUUCAACGUUAAUUAAACGUCUCUCUGCCCACUGGGUUUGCAACGAUAGUCAACGAAAUCACAAAGGUGAGUUUUGUUGAUUUUGACUGCCAGCUAAUUGAUGCUAACAUGCUACGCUAAUCGAUGCUAACAUGCUAUUUACCGGCGGUGCUAAAGCAGACAUGGAACAGAGAUGUAUGGAUAACCUGUAGAUGCAUUUGCAACUCUUAUUACGUUUCCUUCCACCCACAUUUAAUGCGAAAAAAACACUUACCAAUCGACGGAUUUAAGUUGCUCCAGUGUCAAAAGAUGCGAAAGUCCUGAUCGUUUGGUCCGCACAUUUUACCGGCGAUGCUAACGCAGCUAUUCGGUCAUGCUUUGGCUAUGAAUAGCGUCAAUAGCUAUUCGCUCAAUAGCUUCAGUUUCUUCUUCAAUAUUUUCAUACUCCAACCAUCUGUUUCAAUACAUGCGUAAUCUGUUGAAUCGCUCAAGUAGCUGAAAUCCGAGUUUGAAUCCGAGCUAAUGUCACUAUAUCUUGCUGUGGUAUUCCCAUUGUUUGUUUACAUUGGCAGCACUGUGUGACGUCACAGGGAAAUGGCCAGUGUCUUCGCAGAGAGCCGAAAAUAAGGCACUUUAAAGCUUUAUUUAGGGAUAUUCCGAGACCGGUAAAAUUUAAAAAAAAAUUCAAAAAAUACAACAAGCCACUGGGAACUGAUUUUUAUUGUUUUUAACCCUUUUGAAAUUGUGAUGAUGUUCCCCUUUAAUUCUUCCUUCAUUCGCACCUUCUCUGUCUCGUAUAACCCCUUGCACGGCUGCGCUAGUAUUACAGCUAACGUUACCCAUGCUACUACCUCUCUGCUCCGCGAGGGCGUAUACGUAUGUGACGUAUGAUGUGACAGUAUGUGACGUGUGUAAGAAAGUGUGCUUGUCUGUGAGAAGGAGAGACAAGAAAGAGCGAGAAGAGCCUGAAAUGUAAUGCCAGCCGCUAUAAGCAACUGCGUGAGAACGUAUGCUCAAAUAUCACGAUAUAGUCAUUUUCUAUAUCGCACAAAGACAAACCCGCGAUAUAUCGUGUAUAUCAAUAUAUUGCCCAGCUCUAGUUGGCUGUACAUGCUACUUGACCUGAACCACAGCUGGUUACCUGAAAGGCAGAGCAGUUUGUUAGGAUGAGUGAGGAGACUUCAACUGGUGCGUUCGGUGGGAAAUUUUACUUCAAAAUAAACCCUGAUGUUACUUUAGGUAAAACUGUUAGCAAGUUUAAUGCAAAUAAAUGUAAUGUAAUGUAAAACUUUUUUUUAAAUUCCUGAAUGACAUUCUGACAAUAAAAUUGCUUUUGUGUCCAAAUAUAAUGUUAAAAUUUAUUCAUAAGCGCUUCAAACAGAGAAAAAAAGAAAUUCAUGAAUGUAUAAUUAUAUUUAAAAAAUGCAAGCGAGUAAUAACUUAUGAUUAAUCAUAAAUAAUUAAAAUUUAAAAAAUUAUCAUUUGACAGCAGUAAUUAAAAUAUAAACACUUUUUUGUUCAUUAAUUUACUUUGAAUACUAAAAUAGCAUUUCUAAUACAAAAAGUACCAAAAGAACAGGAAGAAGAAAAAACUAAUACAGUUCUGCCCCAUUACUAAUGAUUUUAUUAUAUAUCAACAAUACAAUACAAUAGAUAAUGACCUUGUACAAUAAUAUUUAGUAUAUAAAUAGUAUACCUAAUUACAUCCAUAAUAACUCACAAUAGAUAAACCCACUCAUCAUUUUAUCAAAUGUACUUUAAUUAAUUAAAUUAUACCCUUAAGAUAUUUUACGUUUUCUCCUCCUUGUUGUACCUAAUAAAUAUUUAUUUUUAAUCAGAUUCAGCUUUAUUGGCCAAAUGUUUUACACACAAAAUAGAAUGAUUCAUCAUCAGAAUGCAUGCAUGCAUAUUUUAGCUAAUGGAAUGUUGACUUCAUUUUUUUUUGUCAAGCAGUUAACCAUUAUUUUUGAUUAGAUACAAUAAAUUACCUAAUAUUUAGUUUUCAAAUUUUGACUAAAUGUGAUCAAAUGACAAGAAAACAAUCACUAAUCAAAUAAAUGUUUUAUAUUUUUGUAACUGAUUUGAUGGAAAUACAAUCCAUUUCAUUCCAUUUCACAACCGUUGAAUACGAUAAAUGCCAUUUUAUAGGUGAUGCACAGUGCAAGGUAGUAGUAAUGAACGGGAUAUAUGAUCAUUAUAAUACAGAUUUAAAACAGUUCCUUGCAAUGUAGAUAAUAUUUAUUGCAUAUACUUUGGUGUAAAUUUUGUUCCCUAUAACCCAUUUUUUCUGAAUCUGUCUGCAAGAUGUUCGUUUGUGGAGGAGUUCCCAGAUUGCAAAUGAAACCAACCCCCAACCUCUUCAAAAGUAUCAUAAUUAAUCUUUCGAUAAUGUACGCUGUUUGAAUAUUAACUUGGAAAAGAACAUCACCGCUAUUUUUUCCCAGAUAUGGUUGAGAAUAAACUCCAUAAACAUUAUAUAGAUUAACACGGUCAGAAUAUUAGGUACACCUGCACACAGGGCCAGGCCGUGGCAUUAAUACUCCAUACAGUUGGUUAGGGCCACAACCAGUACUUAUUUGAUUGUUUUUCUUUCAUUUUAAAUUUGUCAAUUAAAAAAUACGGCGUCAUAAAAGUUAAGAUGUUAAGGGUGUUUGAAUCCAAUUAGGAGGCGUAACACUGCCUACACCCCCUUUCAAAAUUGCAAACUUGUUCAUUUCUCCUGGUAGCAGAAAACCUAACACUUCACUGUUCACUCACAGACAUCAUAAUAACGACAUUCAAGCUCACAUUUAUUCAUUCACACACAGCGCCAACAUUUAGGAACCAGGAUGAGGUGAUUAAAAGGUCAAAAACAUAAUAAAUCUAAUUGUGGUAGCAUCAGAAAAAGUUAUGUUUAAGUUUCAAUUUUCCAUCGCAUAGCACAUAACUUAAAAAACAUAGUUUUACCCAAAUUAACUCAAUAAUUCAUACUUCAGUGCACGUAAACAUACUGACUGUCUACGUGGGGUAUUGAUGUUAGGUUUAGGGUAGGGUUGGGGUGUCGUCAGGCACCUAAUAAGGAUAAUAAAUAUGUUAUAAUAAAGACCAAAAUGGGGACACAAACAAAAUCUUGUUAAGGUCCACAAAAAGUAUCGUGUAAGGUCCACAAAAAAUCUAGUGUCGGGAUGCACAUUCUCCAAUCGAUUCAAAGUCUGCAUAAAAAAGCAGCUGUUAACAGCAUUUAUGUCACUGCAUGUCACACAUUUGUGUUAUCAUGCCCACGCCAAGAUUAGAUGAAAAUAGUACUUCAAUCAUGAUUUGACGCGUUAACAGUUUAUCCUGAGUAUUUAACAUUGUUUAUAACAACAUAUAUAAGUCAGAAAAUCAUCUUAGGUCCCCGAUCAAUUCACCGACUAAGCUGAUGUUUAGAAAUAAAACAUUUUUUAUUCCUGUUUGGUGUGUAAAAUAAUUUUACAUCACUGAUAUUCUCCAUUAAAAUGUUUUUUAAAGAGCAGAAUUUUGCAUCAUUCUGUCCACACAACAUUAUCACUUACAAAGGGCGCCAGGUGGGUGCGUGUACACGUUUAAAAGCAGAUGUCAAAUUUCUUGUUG
Long non-coding RNA from Nerophis ophidion (straightnose pipefish), 6487 nucleotides. RefSeq lists it as uncharacterized. The transcript has 5 exons. The record is from RefSeq and is a predicted model, not a curated record. Lineage: Eukaryota; Metazoa; Chordata; Actinopteri; Syngnathiformes; Syngnathidae.